This 467-nucleotide long non-coding RNA is filed under the name Homo sapiens (human). Its description in RNAcentral is "HSALNT0325476". The record is from RNAcentral. Lineage: Eukaryota; Metazoa; Chordata; Mammalia; Primates; Hominidae.
GAAAUAAUGGGAGCUUAAAGGAGAGGAAUGUGGGGGAGUUAUCAGCCUGUGAAAUAGGUCUAAGACUGCUGAACAAGAGAGGGAAAGAAGGUCUCAGACUAUACAUUUGUGAAUUUCUGUAAUAAAGAGGAAAUAGAAACCCAUUCAAAGUAGGAAGUCUUUGCUACCUAUCAAACAGUGAACUGAAUGACCUCAGUAUGAUAAUUUAGAACACCAUUCAUUUUAUGUGCAAUAACAUUGUUGAGGACUGAUGAAGCUUCAUUGUGAAAAUCUACAAAAGUAGAGGUGGGAAGUCACAUGCAUUGAUGCUUCAGAACACAGGAAGAUGAGCUAAUCAUCUGCCAACCUUGAACUGAGAAAUUGUGAUCCCAAUAUAUAAAGUAUAAUUGUGCAAAAUAGUCUUAGGGACUAUUUUAAAUCCCUCUUCAGCUCAUGUACGGGUUGAUUUGUUCACCUAAUAAAUGCAA